UCGAGAAUCUUUCACAAUGGGCGAAAGCCUGAUGGAGCGACGCCGCGUGGAGGAUGAAGGCCUUCGGGUUGUAAACUCCUGUCAUGAGGGAACAAGAAAGUGAUAGUACCUCAAGAGGAAGAGACGGCUAACUCUGUGCCAGCAGCCGCGGUAAUACAGAGGUCUCAAGCGUUGUUCGGAUUUACUGGGCGUAAAGGGUGCGUAGGCGGUGGCGUAAGUCGAGUGUGAAAUCUUCCGGCCUAACCGGAAAACUGCACUCGAUACUGCGUCACUAGAGGACUGUAGAGGAGACUGGAAUUCACGGUGUAGCAGUGAAAUGCGUAGAUAUCGUGAGGAAGACCGGUGGCGAAAAGCGAGUCUCUGGGCAGUUCCUGACGCUGAGGCACGAAGGCUAGGGGAGCAAACGGGAUUAGAUACCCUUGUAGUCCCUGAGCGGGCUGGCAAGGCGCAU
Molecule: ribosomal RNA, 451 nt
Filed under: uncultured bacterium
Lineage: Bacteria
Description: bacterial SSU rRNA
Rfam family: Bacterial small subunit ribosomal RNA
Source: RNAcentral